GACGAACGCUGGCGGCGUGCCUAAUACAUGCAAGUAGAACGCUGAAGGAGGAGCUUGCUUCUCUGGAUGAGUUGCGAACGGGUGAGUAACGCGUAGGUAACCUGCCUGGUAGCGGGGGAUAACUAUUGGAAACGAUAGCUAAUACCGCAUAAUAGUAGAUGUUGCAUGACAUUUGCUUAAAAGGUGCAAUUGCAUCACUACCAGAUGGACCUGCGUUGUAUUAGCUAGUUGGUGGGGUAACGGCUCACCAAGGCGACGAUACAUAGCCGACCUGAGAGGGGGAUCGGCCACACUUGGACUGUGACACGGCCCAGACUCCUACGGGAGGCAGCAGUAGUGAAUCUUCGGCAAUGGACGGAAGUCUGACCGAGCGACGCCGCGGGAGUGAAGAAGGUUGUCGGAUCGUAAAGCUCUGUUGUAAGAGAAGAUCGAGUGUGAGAGUGGAAAGUUCACACUGUGACGGUAUCUUACCAGAAAGGGACGGCUAACUACGUG
RNAcentral lists this ribosomal RNA (495 nucleotides) under uncultured bacterium. Its description in RNAcentral is "partial 16S ribosomal RNA". It matches the Rfam family "Bacterial small subunit ribosomal RNA", at positions 28 to 507 of the family's 1533-position model. The record is from RNAcentral.